AUUGAACGCUGGCGGCAGGCUUAACACAUGCAAGUCGAGCGGUAACAGAGAGAAGCUUGCUUCUCUGCUGACGAGCGGCGGACGGGUGGGUAAUGCCUAGGAAUCUGCCUAGUAGUGGGGGAUAACUUGCCGAAAGGUAAGCUAAUACCGCAUACGUCCUACGGGAGAAAGGAGGGGACCUUCGGGCCUUUCGCUAUUAGAUGAGCCUAGGUCGGAUUAGUUAGUUGGUGAGGUAAUGGCUCACCAAGACCGCGAUCCGUAACUGGUCUGAGAGGAUGAUCAGUCACACUGGAACUGAGACACGGUCCAGACUCCUACGGGAGGCAGCAGUGGGGAAUAUUGGACAAAGGGGGGAACCCUGAUCCAGCCAUGCCGCGUGUGUGAAGAAGGUCUUAGGAUUGUAAAGCACUUUAAGUUGGGAGGAAGAGCAGUUAACUAAUAUUUGACUGUUUUGACGUUACCGACAGAAUAAGCACCGGCUAACUUCGUG
This 490-nucleotide ribosomal RNA is filed under the name uncultured bacterium. RNAcentral's name for it is "partial 16S ribosomal RNA". It matches the Rfam family "Bacterial small subunit ribosomal RNA", at positions 30 to 507 of the family's 1533-position model. The record is from RNAcentral.